Protopterus annectens (West African lungfish) is the source of this 1996-nucleotide long non-coding RNA. RefSeq lists it as uncharacterized. The record is from RefSeq and is a predicted model, not a curated record. The transcript is spliced from 3 exons. Lineage: Eukaryota; Metazoa; Chordata; Ceratodontiformes; Protopteridae.
UGUUGGGUUAAUAUAUGUCUUUCCCACACGGUCCAACUAAAUUUAAAAUAACGUUACUUUUGUAUUCUGGUCAUAACGAUUACUUUUAAACUUUAAAGGAUAUGUCAAUAAAAUAAAGAUUUUUCCAAGAUAAUUAACAGAAACAGCAAUGGUGUACGUGUGUGUGUGGGGGGCGGGGGUCACAGUAGUAUGGAAGUUCUACAUUUCUUAAUGUUGCCUUGUCCAAAUUUCCAUGACCACAAUGUGUUGAAAAAUCCACAUCAGCUGCAAGAACGUUUCUGCUUUCUCCUGUUAAUGCAAGGACUCUAAACUCAAACUGUAAAGCUACUCAGUCAGCAAAGGCGUGCAUGAUGUCUCACGAAUUAUAUACUCCGUACUGCGACAGGUCUUACACCUUCCCAUCGGUGGGCCCAGAGAGGAAAAGGCUCCAACACAACUUUACAAUUUUUAACAUUUGGGAUGAGAGCUAUUGCCGUGCUCGUCCGAUGUACAACAAUGUGAUACACAACUGCACAGAACUGUUAAUAAUUUUGCUGCUUUUAUAUAUGGUUGGUGAUUGGUGCAUGUUCAUCAGAACCUAGUUUCAACAAUGUGACUUACAUUUACUGAAAAGACUAAUUAUAGGCAGCAUAAGUGUUGCGUUACCCAUGUUGUUUAACUGUUGAUCUGAUACCAGGCAUCUGCCGUAUAAACAAACUCAAUUAGGUCUAUUCCAGUGCAUGCAUUUAAUCUAAAAAGCUAAACGAAUAAAGUACUCCUCCUUUGUUUAAAAAAAUGAAAACACGUACACAAGGCUGCAUACCUUUAUAAAUGCAUUAAAGCUUUAUCCAAGAGAAGAAAACCUUUAAAAAUUUGGACUCAACAGGUAGCAUUUGGCUGAUAAAUGUACAUAGCGCAAAUCUUUGCCAAGUGGGGGGUCUAAUAAAGGCAUCUUACGUUUAUACUUGCAGAAAUCAGGAAAAAUCAGCACCAGGAAAAAAAAAAACAUGGGAACUAGUGCCCCGCGUUUAUGGGGGUGACAGGUUAAGAGAUAACUGGUGAUGACUGUCUACUGGAAUUACACCGACGGAGUUAUGGACAUUUCUGGACAUCGCGUAGUAGGUACAGUACACAGUUUGCUGGCUAGUACAAACUCAGGCAAAUAAUAAGCUGUCCUGCCAAUUUGCUUAGAAACGUUGUGGGGGUUCUCUAACGUCUACACUUAGGAGCUAGGUAUACAGAUCACUUCCCGUUCAGUUUUGCAAUUUAACAGUGGACAUGGAAUGGUUGAAAUAUAGUCCAAAAUGUCUGCUUCUCCAUUCAAAGUGAAGUCAGAAGUUUAGCCAAGUCGUGGUGUGAAGCAAUGUAUGCUCCAACAGUCACAAAGGAAAAACAGUACUUCCGAAGUGCGCAGCAGAUGAAUAUCAAUAAAUAUAACAACUGAUUGGUUGCAGUGAAUUAUGAGAUAUAUUAAACCCUUUAAAAUGAUAAAUAAUUACAUAAUGUCAGGUGCAGAGUAUAAAUUUUUAAUAUUAGACUCCUACAAAUUAGGUUGUGACUCUGUGUGCAUACUACUAAAGGCAUACAUUUAUAAACAAUGACGUUGUUAAUAUUUGUUUAAUAUUUUAAGCAAGCCACUUCAUUGACGCUUGACAUAACUCAUGAAAGUGGAACAUGGUCUAUGAAGUGCAGGCAGAAAAACACUUUGAUUAAUAAGAAUGAUGAUGAUGAUAAUAAUAAUCCUAGAGCACAGUUUCAUCUGGGUGAGCAGGCACGAUGAUUGCAGAGAAACAGACGCAUUUUAGACUGUUGUGCCUAAACUACUUUUUACUUCUAUGGGUGGUUUACUUAUAGUCCUAGAUAUAUCGAAACACUGCUGUUUGUAUACGUAUAUAAGCAUGCACAUUAGGGUGGGAUUGUUUUUUACUUCGCUAUUUCCACGCCUGUGCAAAUAAUAAAGACAUCAUAGAAAGCAUACUGUUUCUUUUAAGAAUGAUGCUUGAUACGUACCUCACCG